This 1489-nucleotide ribosomal RNA is filed under the name Lactiplantibacillus pentosus. Its description in RNAcentral is "bacterial SSU rRNA". It matches the Rfam family "Bacterial small subunit ribosomal RNA". The record is from RNAcentral. Lineage: Bacteria; Bacillati; Bacillota; Bacilli; Lactobacillales; Lactobacillaceae.
GACGAACGCUGGCGGCGUGCCUAAUACAUGCAAGUCGAACGAACUCUGGUAUUGAUUGGUGCUUGCAUCAUGAUUUACAUUUGAGUGAGUGGCGAACUGGUGAGUAACACGUGGGAAACCUGCCCAGAAGCGGGGGAUAACACCUGGAAACAGAUGCUAAUACCGCAUAACAACUUGGACCGCAUGGUCCGAGUUUGAAAAAUGGCUUCGGCUAUCACUUUUGGAUGGUCCCGCGGCGUAUUAGCUAGAUGGUGGGGUAACGGCUCACCAUGGCAAUGAUACGUAGCCGACCUGAGAGGGUAAUCGGCCACAUUGGGACUGAGACACGGCCCAAACUCCUACGGGAGGCAGCAGUAGGGAAUCUUCCACAAUGGACGAAAGUCUGAUGGAGCAACGCCGCGUGAGUGAAGAAGGGUUUCGGCUCGUAAAACUCUGUUGUUAAAGAAGAACAUAUCUGAGAGUAACUGUUCAGGUAUUGACGGUAUUUAACCAGAAAGCCACGGCUAACUACGUGCCAGCAGCCGCGGUAAUACGUAGGUGGCAAGCGUUGUCCGGAUUUAUUGGGCGUAAAGCGAGCGCAGGCGGUUUUUUAAGUCUGAUGUGAAAGCCUUCGGCUCAACCGAAGAAGUGCAUCGGAAACUGGGAAACUUGAGUGCAGAAGAGGACAGUGGAACUCCAUGUGUAGCGGUGAAAUGCGUAGAUAUAUGGAAGAACACCAGUGGCGAAGGCGGCUGUCUGGUCUGUAACUGACGCUGAGGCUCGAAAGUAUGGGUAGCAAACAGGAUUAGAUACCCUGGUAGUCCAUACCGUAAACGAUGAAUGCUAAGUGUUGGAGGGUUUCCGCCCUUCAGUGCUGCAGCUAACGCAUUAAGCAUUCCGCCUGGGGAGUACGGCCGCAAGGCUGAAACUCAAAGGAAUUGACGGGGGCCCGCACAAGCGGUGGAGCAUGUGGUUUAAUUCGAAGCUACGCGAAGAACCUUACCAGGUCUUGACAUACUAUGCAAAUCUAAGAGAUUAGACGUUCCCUUCGGGGACAUGGAUACAGGUGGUGCAUGGUUGUCGUCAGCUCGUGUCGUGAGAUGUUGGGUUAAGCCCCGCAACGAGCGCAACCCUUAUUAUCAGUUGCCAGCAUUAAGUUGGGCACUCUGGUGAGACUGCCGGUGACAAACCGGAGGAAGGUGGGGAUGACGUCAAAUCAUCAUGCCCCUUAUGACCUGGGCUACACACGUGCUACAAUGGAUGGUACAACGAGUUGCGAACUCGCGAGAGUAAGCUAAUCUCUUAAAGCCAUUCUCAGUUCGGAUUGUAGGCUGCAACUCGCCUACAUGAAGUCGGAAUCGCUAGUAAUCGCGGAUCAGCAUGCCGCGGUGAAUACGUUCCCGGGCCUUGUACACACCGCCCGUCACACCAUGAGAGUUUGUAACACCCAAAGUCGGUGGGGUAACCUUUUAGGAACCAGCCGCCUAAGGUGGGACAGAUGAUUAGGGUG